This 511-nucleotide ribosomal RNA is filed under the name uncultured bacterium. RNAcentral's name for it is "bacterial SSU rRNA". It matches the Rfam family "Bacterial small subunit ribosomal RNA", at positions 791 to 1296 of the family's 1533-position model. The record is from RNAcentral.
UAGUCCACGCCGUAAACGAUGGACACUAGAUGUCGGGAGGCUUGUCUUUUCGGUGUCGUAGCUAACGCGUUAAGUGUCCCGCCUGGGGAGUACGCCCGCAAGGGUGAAACUCAAAGGAAUUGACGGGGGCCCGCACAAGCGGUGGAGCAUGUGCUUUAAUUCGAUGCAACGCGAAGAACCUUACCUGGAUUUGACAUGGGAGUGAAAGGUUUUAGAGAUAAAACUCCUUCCUUCGGGAACACUCUGCACAGGUGCUGCAUGGUUGUCGUCAGCUCGUGUCGUGAGAUGUUGGGUUAAGUCCCGCAACGAGCGCAACCCUCGUCCUUAGUUGCCAUCAGGUAAUGCUGGGAACUCUAAGGAGACUGCCUGGUUCAACCAGGAGGAAGGUGGGGAUGACGUCAAAUCCUCAUGGCCCUUACGUCCAGGGCUAGACACGUGCUACAAUGGUCAGUACAGAGGGAUGCCAAGUCGUGAGACUGAGCUAAUCCGUUAAAAACUGAUCUCAGUUCGG